UACGAAGGGGGCUAGCGUUGCUCGGAAUUACUGGGCGUAAAGCGCUCGUAGGCGGUUUCUUAAGUCGGGGGUGAAAUCCUGGAGCUCAACUCCAGAACUGCCUUCGAUACUGGGAAACUUGAGUCCGGGAGAGGUGAGUGGAACUGCGAGUGUAGAGGUGAAAUUCGUAGAUAUUCGCAAGAACACCAGUGGCGAAGGCGGCUCACUGGCCCGAUACUGACGCUGAGGCACGAAAGCGUGGGGAGCGAACAGG
This 253-nucleotide ribosomal RNA is filed under the name uncultured bacterium. RNAcentral's name for it is "partial 16S ribosomal RNA". It matches the Rfam family "Bacterial small subunit ribosomal RNA", at positions 524 to 776 of the family's 1533-position model. The record is from RNAcentral.